UACAGAGGUCCCGAGCGUUGUUCGGAUUCACUGGGCGUAAAGAGUGCGUAGGCGGUUCUGCAAGUCUGAUGUGAAAUCUCCGGGCCCAACCCGGAAAUGGCAUUAGAAACUGCAGGGCUAGAGGCUUGGAGGGGGAACUGGAAUGCUCGGUGUAGCAGUGAAAUGCGUAGAGAUCGAGCGGAACACCAGUGGCGAAGGCGAGUUCCUGGACAAGACCUGACGCUGAGGCACGAAAGCCAGGGGAGCAAACAGG
This 253-nucleotide ribosomal RNA is filed under the name uncultured bacterium. Its description in RNAcentral is "partial 16S ribosomal RNA". It matches the Rfam family "Bacterial small subunit ribosomal RNA", at positions 524 to 776 of the family's 1533-position model. The record is from RNAcentral.